RNAcentral lists this ribosomal RNA (1581 nucleotides) under Citrobacter freundii. RNAcentral describes it as "partial 23S ribosomal RNA". It matches the Rfam family "Bacterial large subunit ribosomal RNA", at positions 911 to 2470 of the family's 2925-position model. The record is from RNAcentral. Lineage: Bacteria; Pseudomonadati; Pseudomonadota; Gammaproteobacteria; Enterobacterales; Enterobacteriaceae.
UGUUUCGGCUAGGGGGUCAUCCCGACUUACCAACCCGAUGCAAACUGCGAAUACCGAAGAAUGUUAUCACGGGAGACACACGGCGGGUGCUAACGUCCGUCGUGAAGAGGGAAACAACCCAGACCGCCAGCUAAGGUCCCAAAGUCAUGGUUAAGUGGGAAACGAUGUGGGAAGGCACAGACAGCCAGGAUGUUGGCUUAGAAGCAGCCAUCAUUUAAAGAAAGCGUAAUAGCUCACUGGUCGAGUCGGCCUGCGCGGAAGAUGUAACGGGGCUAAACCAUGCACCGAAGCUGCGGCAGCGACACUAUGUGUUGUUGGGUAGGGGAGCGUUCUGUAAGCCGUUGAAGGUGGCCUGUGAGGGUUGCUGGAGGUAUCAGAAGUGCGAAUGCUGACAUAAGUAACGAUAAUGCGGGUGAAAAACCCGCACGCCGGAAGACCAAGGGUUCCUGUCCAACGUUAAUCGGGGCAGGGUGAGUCGACCCCUAAGGCGAGGCCGAAAGGCGUAGUCGAUGGGAAACAGGUUAAUAUUCCUGUACUUGGUGUUACUGCGAAGGGGGGACGGAGAAGGCUAUGUUAGCCGGGCGACGGUUGUCCCGGUUUAAGCAUGUAGGCGGAGGUUCCAGGUAAAUCCGGUACCUUUUUAACGCUGAGGUGUGAUGACGAGGCACUACGGUGCUGAAGUAACAAAUGCCCUGCUUCCAGGAAAAGCCUCUAAGCAUCAGGUAACACGAAAUCGUACCCCAAACCGACACAGGUGGUCAGGUAGAGAAUACCAAGGCGCUUGAGAGAACUCGGGUGAAGGAACUAGGCAAAAUGGUGCCGUAACUUCGGGAGAAGGCACGCUGAUAUGUAGGUGAAGUGAUUUACUCAUGGAGCUGAAAUCAGUCGAAGAUACCAGCUGGCUGCAACUGUUUAUUAAAAACACAGCACUGUGCAAACACGAAAGUGGACGUAUACGGUGUGACGCCUGCCCGGUGCCGGAAGGUUAAUUGAUGGGGUUAUCCGUAAGGAGAAGCUCUUGAUCGAAGCCCCGGUAAACGGCGGCCGUAACUAUAACGGUCCUAAGGUAGCGAAAUUCCUUGUCGGGUAAGUUCCGACCUGCACGAAUGGCGUAAUGAUGGCCAGGCUGUCUCCACCCGAGACUCAGUGAAAUUGAACUCGCUGUGAAGAUGCAGUGUACCCGCGGCAAGACGGAAAGACCCCGUGAACCUUUACUAUAGCUUGACACUGAACACUGGUCCUUGAUGUGUAGGAUAGGUGGGAGGCUUUGAAGUGUGGACGCCAGUCUGCAUGGAGCCAUCCUUGAAAUACCACCCUUUAAUGGCUGGUGUUCUAACGUGGACCCGUUACCCGGGUUGCGGACAGUGUCUGGUGGGUAGUUUGACUGGGGCGGUCUCCUCCUAAAGAGUAACGGAGGAGCACGAAGGUUAGCUAAUCCUGGUCGGACAUCAGGAGGUUAGUGCAAAGGCAUAAGCUAGCUUGACUGCGAGAGUGACGGCUCGAGCAGGUGCGAAAGCAGGUCUUAGUGAUCCGGUGGUUCUGAAUGGAAGGGCCAUCGCUCAACGGAUAAAAGGUACUCCG